UCAAAUCCACCUGCCGUAGCGAGCUGCUCCGGGGGAAUCCGCCAGGCACACUCCCGGAGAGCUCGUUGCCGGAGAGGUCGAGAGAGCGGAGCGAAGGCAGCGACCAGAGGCCGUCGGGGAUGGGCCCGGCGAGGCGGUUGGACGAGAGGUUGAGGGAGACGAGCGAGGCGCAGGACGUGACGGCGGGCGGGAUGUAGCCAGAGAGCUGAUUGUGCGCGAGGGAGAUGGCGCGGAUGUAGCGGCAUUGGGCGAAGAGCUGGGCGGGGACGGGCGCGGCGAGGCGGUUGGAGGAGAGGUCGAGGGAGCGGAGCCGCGGGAGCGCGGCGAGGAGGUUUGGGAGCACGGGGCCGGAGAGGUUGUUGCGCGGGAGCGCGAGGGAGAGGAGCGCGUCGAGGCGGAGCAGCGCGGGCGGGAGGCGGCCGGAGAGCGACGCCGCCGGGAGCGAGAGCGAGGUGACGCGGCCCGUGCGCGCGUCGCAGCCGACGCCCGGCCAGGAGCAGGGGCGGUCGUCGUCCUCGGUCCACGUCGCCAGGCGGCCCGACGGGUCCGAGACGCCCGUCUUGAAGACCACCAGCGCGAGCACGUCGUCGGUGAGCGCGCUCGUCG
This 606-nucleotide long non-coding RNA is filed under the name Setaria italica (foxtail millet). Its description in RNAcentral is "long non-coding RNA (SITA_LNC004068)". The record is from RNAcentral. Lineage: Eukaryota; Viridiplantae; Streptophyta; Magnoliopsida; Poales; Poaceae.